This is a long non-coding RNA of Microtus ochrogaster (prairie vole), 688 nucleotides long. RefSeq lists it as uncharacterized. Lineage: Eukaryota; Metazoa; Chordata; Mammalia; Rodentia; Cricetidae. The record is from RefSeq and is a predicted model, not a curated record. The transcript is spliced from 3 exons.
CCCCCCCGCCCCACCCCCGUCAGACCCCAGCACCUUUCUUUCCUCCGGAAGGGGAAAAACUAAAACGCUGACCAAAAGAAGAGAAUAAGCAGUGGGUUGUUCUGAAACUGAUAAACAACUUAAAGGCCUGUUUCUUUAUCUGUUGGAUACGGAGAGUGGUGUUAACUUCUGAAGGGCUUACUAUGUAUGAUGGCGUGGAAUCAGAACUAGAAGUUGCACAAUUCCAGGUCCCUGGCACGGAGUGGAUUCACCAGAACUCUUGGCUGCCUGGUGAGAUAGAGUUCAUCAGGUGGUAUGUGGUAACUACGGAGGUCUUCCUGCCCAUCCCAAUGCCAGCCCCCUCCUCCUCUGCUCUUCCAGAGUCUCAGCUGAUGACCAGAGGUGCCCAGGACUCAGAAUCACUUCCUUCCUUGUAUUCAGGGGAAGAGCCCCAGAGCCCGCCCUCGCUCUUCACAGGCCACUGUCUGAGUAUAAUUUUAGAGAGGCACCUUCCUGUCUUAAAAGAUCUUCUCCACCCAUGGGGAGGAAGGAGCAAGCAUUCAGCCCAUCACUUCACCAGCUUUGUGUCCCCGCACACUCAUAUCCCGAGGAACACCCCGACACUGAAAAUUGGAUGUAAUGUUCGAAAAGUAUUUGUGGAAUAAAAGUUUGUAAACCUUUCUACUUAAAACGUUAGAAAUAAAAUAUU